This 323-nucleotide long non-coding RNA is filed under the name Gopherus evgoodei (Goodes thornscrub tortoise). Its description in RNAcentral is "lncRNA (ENSGEVG00005018233.1)". The record is from RNAcentral. Lineage: Eukaryota; Metazoa; Chordata; Testudines; Testudinidae.
CCCAGUUUGUGGACCCAGAGCAGCUGCAAACGACUCUGGGCGGGACCCUGCAGCACUCGCAGACCCAGUGGGUAAAGAUGUGCCAGGCGCUGGAGCGGCUCUGCGGGCUCUGCCAGGGUGUGAUCCAGUCGGUGCAAGUGGCCAGUGCUGAGUUGGAGGCAUUGGAAUUGGCCGAGAGUGACGAGGCGCUUUCUGUGCAGAUCUCUGGGCACAAGGAUGCCAUGCAGAAGCUGCUGUCAGACCCAUGGCUGCUGGAGUUGCAGAGCAGCGGGGGGUCCCUGCUGGCUCGACUUCCCCCACCAGGAACCUGCAGGUGACCCCUG